GGGCCACCAAUAGCGAAAGCAUCUGACUGGGACGGACCUGACGGUGAGGGACGAAGGCCAGGGGAGCGAACCGGAUUAGAUACCCGGGUAGUCCUGGCUGUAAACAAUGUGGACUAAGUUUCGCGGAGACCACGAGCAUCAGGGGAGACUGAAGAGAAAUCAUUAAGUCCACCGC
This 175-nucleotide ribosomal RNA is filed under the name uncultured archaeon. RNAcentral describes it as "partial 16S ribosomal RNA". It matches the Rfam family "Archaeal small subunit ribosomal RNA", at positions 654 to 827 of the family's 1478-position model. The record is from RNAcentral.